UCACAGCAGCACUUUGGAACCUGACAGGAAAGAUUUCUGACAGGAUAUAUAUCUCAGAUGUCCACACAAAGACAAACAUCAUCUGGCUUUUGCUGUGGUUGACUAGUUAAUGUUUCUGCUACAGGUUGCCUCUUCUGGGGCUGACUCUCUUUGAUUCUUACAGAAGAAAACUAUUACAUGGUCACUCCUUUCUGAAACCUGAAUGAAGCCUGUUGGCAGGCUUAUCACACACCCUACCUAGUUGUUGCAUUCAAGGUCAUAGCCAGCACAUCUAUAACACAACCUGUCUUAACCAGCAACAAUAGAAAAGGCUUCAUGAAGACAAAGCAAAACAGCUUCCUCCCUGCAUAUUGGCUGUCCCCAAAUACAAGUAAACUAUGUAAAUGUAAUUGUAGAAUCGAUAUUGUGGUUGCAUAA
Protopterus annectens (West African lungfish) is the source of this 417-nucleotide long non-coding RNA. RefSeq lists it as uncharacterized. The transcript has 3 exons. The record is from RefSeq and is a predicted model, not a curated record. NCBI's taxonomy places the organism in Eukaryota, Metazoa, Chordata, Ceratodontiformes, Protopteridae.